GUUUUUGUCUUUUUACUUCAUAAAAGCUUGGAAAUAAGUCGUUGGGUCUCCGAGUGGUUUUAUGAAAAGGCGGGGUGCUUAGGCGACUUGCCGUAUUUAUAAAGUAAGUAAAAUUGUGGGUUCUGUUCAAAAUAGAGUUCUGAGGGGUUACUUCACGUAGGCAGGUUCGACUCCUGCCGAACUCUACAAAUGAACAUGAACCCAGAGAUAUUUACAAGCACUUUUCUACUACCGGUAUACGGUAGUAAAUAUUAAUCUUCAACUCAACCUUCCUCAAUAUCUAUUUUACCACAAUACACCCAGACGAAAUUGUGGUAAAUGCGAAUAAUUAUUGAGAUGUAAAAGGAAUAAAAUAUUUUAUUCACGGCCAGCAAAUUGAAGCACGACCAUGCACUGAGCAUGCACGACCAAUAUACAUGCAGCACUAUAGCAAGCCUAUUUUAUGCUUGUAAAUAUCCCUGGAACCAAUGCAUGUACAAAACCAUACACAUAUAGUAUCAGUAUCAUGCAGGAUAUAAUAUCAUACACAACUUAUAAGCCUUUCUCAGGUUGGUGCAUAUCAGCCAUUUUGGGGUAGUGUGUACACGUCAGAGAAUAGACAAUGUAAGCAAUGUGAAAAGCGGCGUUUAAAAUUUUAACUGUAAAUUUACCAUUAUACACACAAAUGCAGUGAUAAAAAGUAGCACUUCGCGGUGCGCACAUUCUCGUCAUGCAGACUUGGGAGAGGUAGUACCCCCAAAAUGGCGGAUAAACCAAGCUUGGGAAAGGGUAUUGGGUCAAACGAUCACAAUGGGGUUUUUUCUGUUCUCAUGCAAGCAGGUAUAGAGAAAUGUGAAUGGAGGUUUACCGUUCUCAACCAAAGAAGGACCAUAUACUACCCAGUUGUUCAGUACACAAGUUUGUUUGCGCUUGAUGUGUAGCGGGACGUCUUCUAAAUUUGAUUAUUCAUCUUUUGGGAAUCUUGCAUAAUUUUUUAACAAGCUUCCGUAAACCUCCGACUAUAAGCCGCCCCUCGAAUAUAAGCUCCCCCCUCCCCCAAAUAUAAGCCCACCACAUGUACUAACGCUCACCUCAUUCCAGAUAUAAGCCCCCCAGAAUAUAACCCCCUCCCCCCUUGCAUAAGCCCAUCAAAAAUCGCUUACGAAAUAAUAUAAGUCCAGGGCUUAUAGUCGGAGGUUUACGGUAUAAAGCUUACACGUGUAUAUAAUAGAGCUAACCAGAUUCAAAGCCUUACGUAUUUACAGUAUUCUUUUCUAGAUUAAAAUGCACUGCAUGUUCAAUAAACUUGUUGUAUUGAGUAUAAAAUGUUAUUAAUUUAAAUUGUCUGCAACUUAAGGCAGUCGAGAAAUGUCACUGUAAUAUUUAAUAAAGG
Molecule: non-coding RNA, 1372 nt
Organism: Paramuricea clavata
Lineage: Eukaryota; Metazoa; Cnidaria; Anthozoa; Malacalcyonacea; Plexauridae
Source: the annotation of a GenBank genome assembly